Molecule: ribosomal RNA, 305 nt
Filed under: uncultured bacterium
Lineage: Bacteria
Description: bacterial SSU rRNA
Rfam family: Bacterial small subunit ribosomal RNA
Source: RNAcentral
CCUACGGGGGGCAGCAGUGAGGAAUAUUGGUCAAUGGGCGCAAGCCUGAACCAGCCAAGUCGCGUGAGGGAAGACGGCCCUACGGGUUGUAAACCUCUUUUGCCGGGGAGCAAGCCUGAGCACGUGUGCCCAGGCGGAGAGUACCCGGAGAAAAAGCAUCGGCUAACUCCGUGCCAGCAGCCGCGGUAAUACGGAGGAUGCGAGCGUUAUCCGGAUUUAUUGGGUUUAAAGGGUGCGCAGGCGGGCUGUUAAGCCGGCGGUAAAAAUUCAGGGCUCAACCCUGUCGAGCCGUCGGAACUGGCAGG